GACGAACGCUGGCGGCGUGCUUAACACAUGCAAGUCGAACGGAAAGGCCCUGCUUUUGUGGGGUGCUCGAGUGGCGAACGGGUGAGUAACACGUGAGUAACCUGCCCUUGACUUUGGGAUAACUUCAGGAAACUGGGGCUAAUACCGGAUAGGAGCUCCUGCUGCAUGGUGGGGGUUGGAAAGUUUCGGCGGUUGGGGAUGGACUCGCGGCUUAUGAGCUUGUUGGUGGGGUAGUGGCUUACCAAGGCCUUGACGGGUAGCCGGCCUGAGAGGGUGACCGGCCACAUUGGGACUGAGAUACGGCCCAGACUCCUACGGGAGGCAGCAGUGGGGAAUAUUGCACAAUGGGCGGAAGCCUGAUGCAGCAACGCCGCGUGCGGGAUGACGGCCUUCGGGUUGUAAACCGCUUUCGCCUGUGACGAAGCGUGAGUGACGGUAAUGGGUAAAGAAGCACCGGCUAACUACGUG
This 468-nucleotide ribosomal RNA is filed under the name uncultured bacterium. RNAcentral's name for it is "partial 16S ribosomal RNA". It matches the Rfam family "Bacterial small subunit ribosomal RNA", at positions 28 to 507 of the family's 1533-position model. The record is from RNAcentral.